CGACGGAAACGCUGGAUUGCGCAAGUUAAGCGAGACUGCUGGGAGCCGACUGCUUCCUCCCGUGUUUGUGAGGCCCACUUCGAGGACACAAGCUUCGAGCAAAGGAGGCAGGACGGUUUGAAGAAACUAAGGCCAGAUGCUAUCCCGACGCUGUUUUCUUUUCGCCCUCUUCCAAAGCACAGAUUGCCCCCAAAGAAUCGGGAUGCUGUAUCAAACGUACCGCCUCGGCAUCCAGAUCUCU
Molecule: long non-coding RNA, 241 nt
Organism: Rhipicephalus sanguineus (brown dog tick)
Lineage: Eukaryota; Metazoa; Arthropoda; Arachnida; Ixodida; Ixodidae
Exons: 3
Source: RefSeq, a predicted model, not a curated record